RNAcentral lists this ribosomal RNA (1361 nucleotides) under metagenome. RNAcentral's name for it is "bacterial LSU rRNA". It matches the Rfam family "Bacterial large subunit ribosomal RNA", at positions 1577 to 2925 of the family's 2925-position model. The record is from RNAcentral.
UUAGGAACGCCAAGUGAGUGAUACCAUGCUUCCAGGAAAAGCCACUAAGCUUCAGUUGAAUGAAGACCGUACCGUAAACCGACACAGGUGGGUAGGAUGAGAAUUCUAAGGCGCUUGAGAGAACUCAGGAGAAGGAACUCGGCAAAAUAGCACCGCAACUUCGGGAAAAGGUGUGCCCUUUGUAUGUGUAGCGCCUCGCGCGUGAAGCAGAAUAGGGUUGCAAUGAAAUGGUGGCUGCGACUGUUUAAUAAAAACAUAGCACUCUGCAAACACGAAAGUGGACGUAUAGAGUGUGACGCCUGCCCGGUGCCGGAAGGUUAAAUGAUGGGGUGCAAGCUCUUGAUUGAAGCCCCGGUAAACGGCGGCCGUAACAAUAACGGUCCUAAGGUAGCGAAAUUCCUUGUCGGGUCAGUUCCGACCUGCACGAAUGGCGUAACGAUGGCCACACUGUCUCCUCCUGGGACUCAGCGAAGUUGAAAUGUUUGUGAAGAUGCAAUCUCCCCGCGGCUAGACGGAAAGACCCCGUGCACCUUUACUGUAGCUUUACAUUGGACUUUGAUAACAUUUGUGUAGGAUAGGUGGGAGGCUUUGAAGUGGGUUCGCCAGAAUUCAUGGAGCCAACGUUGAAAUACCACCCUGAUGUUGUUGAGGUUCUAACCUAGAUCCAUUAUCUGGAUUGGGGACCGUGUAUGGUAGGCAGUUUGACUGGGGCGGUCUCCUCCCAAAUUGUAACGGAGGAGUACGAAGGUACGCUAAGUACGGUCGGAAAUCGUACUGAUAGUGCAAUGGCAAAAGCGUGCUUAACUGCGAGACUGACAAGUCGAGCAGAUGCGAAAGCAGGUCAUAGUGAUCCGGUGGUUCUGUAUGGAAGGGCCAUCGCUCAACGGAUAAAAGGUACGCCGGGGAUAACAGGCUGAUUCCUCCCAAGAGUUCAUAUCGACGGGGGAGUUUGGCACCUCGAUGUCGGCUCAUCACAUCCUGGGGCUGUAGCCGGUCCCAAGGGUAUGGCUGUUCGCCAUUUAAAGUGGUACGUGAGCUGGGUUUAAAACGUCGUGAGACAGUUUGGUCCCUAUCUGCCGUGGGCGUUGGGAGUUUGAGUGGACCUGCUCCUAGUACGAGAGGACCGGAGUGGACGCACCUCUGGUGUACCGGUUAUGACGCCAGUCGUAUCGCCGGGUAGCUAUGUGCGGAAGAGAUAACCGCUGAAAGCAUCUAAGCGGGAAACUCUCCUCAAGAUGAGACUUCCCGAGGGUUUAACCCUCCUAAAGGUUCGUCGAAGACUACGACGUUGAUAGGUCGGGUGUGGAAGCAUAGUGAUAUGUUAAGCUAACCGAUACUAAUUGACCGUGAGGCUUGAUCCG